CAGUCGCCGCGGUAAAACGGAGGGUGCAAGCGUUAUCCGGAUUCACUGGGUUUAAAGGGUGCGUAGGCGGAUCUGUAAGUCAGUGGUGAAAUCUCCAGGCUUAACCUGGAAACUGCCGUUGAUACUAUAGGUCUUGAAUUUUGUGGAGGUUAGCGGAAUAUGUCAUGUAGCGGUGAAAUGCAUAGAUAUGACAUAGAACACCAAUUGCGAAGGCAGCUGGCUACACAACUAUUGACGCUGAGGCACGAAAGCGUGGGGAUCAAACAGGAUUAGAUACCCGCGUAGUCCCUGUCUCUUAUAC
This 301-nucleotide ribosomal RNA is filed under the name uncultured bacterium. Its description in RNAcentral is "partial 16S ribosomal RNA". It matches the Rfam family "Bacterial small subunit ribosomal RNA", at positions 509 to 807 of the family's 1533-position model. The record is from RNAcentral.